RNAcentral lists this ribosomal RNA (522 nucleotides) under uncultured Hanseniaspora. RNAcentral describes it as "eukaryotic LSU rRNA". It matches the Rfam family "Eukaryotic large subunit ribosomal RNA", at positions 64 to 585 of the family's 3401-position model. The record is from RNAcentral. Lineage: Eukaryota; Fungi; Ascomycota; Saccharomycetes; Saccharomycodales; Saccharomycodaceae.
ACCAACUGGGAUUACCUUAGUAACGGCGAGUGAAGCGGUAAAAGCUCAAAUUUGAAAUCUGGUACUUUCAGUGCCCGAGUUGUAAUUUGUAGAAUUUGUCUUUGAUUAGGUCCUUGUCUAUGUUCCUUGGAACAGGACGUCAUAGAGGGUGAGAAUCCCGUUUGGCGAGGAUACCUUUUCUUUGUAAGACUUUUUCGAAGAGUCGAGUUGUUUGGGAAUGCAGCUCAAAGUGGGUGGUAAAUUCCAUCUAAAGCUAAAUAUUGGCGAGAGACCGAUAGCGAACAAGUACAGUGAUGGAAAGAUGAAAAGAACUUUGAAAAGAGAGUGAAAAAGUACGUGAAAUUGUUGAAAGGGAAGGGCAUUUGAUCAGACAUGGUGUUUUUGCAUGCACUCGCCUCUCGUGGGCUUGGGCCUCUCAAAAAUUUCACUGGGCCAACAUCAAUUCUGGCAGCAGGAUAAAUCAUUAAGAAUGUAGCUACUUCGGUAUGUUAUAGCUUUUGGAAUACUGUUAGCCGGGAUUGA